Molecule: long non-coding RNA, 1587 nt
Organism: Hevea brasiliensis (rubber tree)
Lineage: Eukaryota; Viridiplantae; Streptophyta; Magnoliopsida; Malpighiales; Euphorbiaceae
Exons: 2
Source: RefSeq, a predicted model, not a curated record
UGACAGAAAGGAUUUGACAUCAUCUACCCAAAAAAAAUGAAAAGGAUUUCACAUCCUUCGACAAAUUUCUGCACUCAUAUCAGAAUUUUUUGCUGAAGAAGGUUCAGUAGCAACAUAAGAGGGUAGGUGUUCAUUACCAACCAGUUUUAGGCAAUUUUUUCUUUAUGACAUCAAAAGAGGAUAGUUUUCUCUUUGCUCUCACUAAUUUCAUUGGGCCCAAACUAAAUUCAAACAAAAGAUUUCUACCUAAGAUCUCCACAAACAAUGGGUAGAUACUCAUUCAGCACUAGCAAUCUGGCAGAAAACUAGAAUGGAAAGAAUACCAAAGUAUCAACAGGGUACUCUUUGCUUCCUCAUAGCGAAACACGGAAACGUCCUGUGUGAGGUUUCCCCGUUCUGGAAACGUUUCCUACACGAAAACGGCGGGACACGGCGAGGAAACGUGUCGAGGCCGUUUCCGGAAUUUGUGAAAGUUGGACACUUGUGUCGCGGACAGGAAACGCGUUUCUAAGCUUAAAAACGCAGGACCAGCCGCGUCGCAGACAACGGCGUUUUAGAAGAAGAAGAAGAAGAAGGAGGAGGAGGAGGAGGAGGAGGAGGCGACGACGACGACGCAUCGCAUCGGCGCAGGUGGCUGGAUCACCGGUUCGGUAAGUAUGUCAUCUCACGUAUACAGAAGUCCCCACCGGGGAGGUUUUUCAUGGGUUUCGGCCUUUGGGUAAUCUUGGAAAUGAGCUCAUUUUCAUACCUAUCCUGAUUUCGUUUGGGAUGGGCUUACAGUCCAUAGAUAUUCAUUGGGCCCCUCAGUGCAAUAUUUGUAAUUAAAAAAAUUAGACAAAUUUUACUUAAACUCGUUUAUUUAUAGUGUACUCAAAAUAUAAUUUGAAUGGUAAAAUUUAUAUAAAUAAUUUUUAACAAUUUAGUUAUUAUUUUGUCCUUUGCUUUCCCCUUCCAAAUUAUAUGAUAUUCAACGAAUAUUGGAAAUCUCUUUUCAGCUUUAUUGUAAUAUAUUGGGCACAUAAUAAUUUCUCGACUAUUCAACUAAUAUUCCAUCUAAGGCAAUAUAAUGGGUGCAUUUCUUUUGCACCUAGCCCCUGGCUUUGAAGCCUUCGGAGAGCCAAGAAGUUACAAUGGUGAAUCCACUGGUAAACAUGAUACUUUCAUUUCUAGCCACGUACUGCCUGUUAAGAUUCAACAUGGUUAUCAGAUUCAGGGACCGGAGGUUAACUUAAUUAAUCUGACAUGGAGGACAAUUAGUGGACCAUUUGUUUCAAUCUGGCUGCAGAAUGUGCCUUAGGGUGGGGAGGAUGUUACGGCAGCACCUGAUGGAAAGGUGAAAGCAUUUGUGCUGGAGCCUGGUCCACUCACCGGUCAAGGACCAUUGAUGUAGAUGGUGAGGUUCUUGCCAGAGGAAACGGAUCGUACAAGUGUGAGCAGAAGACUUUGAUGGUCUAUGACAAGCCUCAAAUAACAGUGGAUCAAGGUUUAGCUACUCAUUUUCUCCUGAAUAACAUUUUAAGGAAUUCUCGUCACAUGAAUCUGCUGUCAUAAUUUCGUUAGUUUUUUGCCACAUAUUUGGAAAUUUCA